CAUUGAUGAAACUAGUGCUGGAGGCUCUGCAUUGACCAGUGCUUCUCUCCCUAGAGUUCACAGUUCUGAGGCUCGUCAGUGACACCCACAUCUGUGCUGGCUGGCUGCAAGUUUUCUACAAUGGAACAUGGAGACCUGUGUGUAGUAACUUCCUGAAGGAUCUUUCCCUCACAAUCGUAUGCAGGCAGUUGGAAUGUGGAGAUUCAGGUUGGCUGGAGAAUAAACAAGAACCCCAUGCAAGCUCUGAGUUUAGCUGGUUGGAUAAAAUUGAAUGCCAUAAACACUAUACGACCUCUUUGUGGCAGUGCUCAUCAGCUCCCUGGCAUCCACAUUCGUGUUCCCAAGAAGAUGAGGCCUGGAUCACCUGUACAGGACAGGCAAAGAAAAAACCAAAUGAAAACAGAGAGGGUGUCAACUGCUCAGCCUACCAAGAAUGCACAGGACUGUCCUGCAAAGCCCCAGGGACACAGUCACUGUGGUCACAAGGAGGAUGCAGCUGUGAAUUGCUCUGGUAUCCUGCUAUUUGCUCAGAAGGGAAAUACACUUUUUGUGGUCAUCAAUUUUGUCCUUGGAACUCUUCUCUGCCUCAUCUUAAUACUUCUGAGGGCUCUGAUGUGGAACAAGAAAAGAUCCUGCCUGGAUUCUAGACUGAAUGCACAUUCUUCUCCUGAGGUCGUCUGUGAGGAUGUUUCACACAUUGAGUUGGGGGAAGAGAAUGAAGAAAUGGAAGAGCUGUAAGAACUACAUGAUGAUGCUGAGGAAGGUUGGGUUCAACACCCCAUAAGGAUCAAGGACUUUUCUUGGAUGGAAGAAGGUGACCAGUCUCAGUCUCUUGAAUAGGAUAAUAUUGAAUUGAAUGUUUUAGGGAUGCCAACAAAGUAAGACAAAAUUCAAAAUAAAACCUCCUCUGAGGUUGACUAUAUGUCA
This 927-nucleotide long non-coding RNA is filed under the name Phascolarctos cinereus (koala). RNAcentral's name for it is "lncRNA (ENSPCIG00000016470.2)". The record is from RNAcentral. Lineage: Eukaryota; Metazoa; Chordata; Mammalia; Diprotodontia; Phascolarctidae.